Doryrhamphus excisus (bluestripe pipefish) is the source of this 3741-nucleotide non-coding RNA. Lineage: Eukaryota; Metazoa; Chordata; Actinopteri; Syngnathiformes; Syngnathidae. The record is from RefSeq and is a predicted model, not a curated record.
AUGACACUGACAUCAUUUAUUGAAUGAAACGUUCCAAGUCAGUGUUCCGUGUGCCAAACAUCCCGUUUAGACGUGAACCUUGGGGCUGAUGGACAGACAGGUUCUGCCGACAUACGUAAGUACAAAUGUUAUUUCCAAUGUGGUGGUUGCGUGUAUUUCCUCCCUCUAACGGUCUCUAACGGUCUCUAACAGCCAUAACCAUCAGAGCCAUUUGACAGCAGGAGAAUGAGAAGUGGCGGCAACGUCAUGUUAGGAAAUAAGAAAAUGUCCGCAUGACGCAACACGCCAUCAAGCGUUCACAUUCCGCCUCUCCGUGGAAACCGCCAAUCUUUCACAAAGGGAAGUGAGGCGGCUUGGCAACGCUUCCUGUCACAGCUCCAUCAGCCGCGUUGCGUAAUGGCGCCUAUGGCACACUGACCCGUGGGCAUGCCCGCUACACGGGCGCCGCGCUAGGGACUGACCUAUGACCCGUGCCACCAGGCACAGGAUGAUGGUGACGGUGACGAAGGUCCAGUUCCAGUUGUGCUUGCCGUCCACCGUGGCCACGCCGAGGAAGAUGAAGAUGAGUGUCUCGCUCACGCUGCUCCACAUCUUCAGGAAGUACUUGAUGGUGGUGUGCGACUUGUGGGAUAUGUUGGCCUCCACGUAGGGUCGCAUCACCGCCCCGCAGGCUAUCAACCUGGAGGCAGAGGGCAUAUGUGGUAGUAGUGUGUAGCGUGUGUAGCGUGUGUAGCGUGUGUAGCUUUAACGCUAACGAGCCGUGUGUGUCUCCAGGAAGUCCUGUCUUGUAUCCACGACCUCUGCACCUCAAGGUACCCGAUGCCAACAGCACAGACGGCGUAGCAGCAUGAGGAGUCAUCACAACCAGGAUUGGUCGCUUUGCUUCAUCCCACAUCGUCUGGUUUGACUUCCUUUCCCAGCUAAGCUAAGCUAAGCUAAGCUAAGCCCCCCCGUCCCCGUAUUAACAGAGACAGGAUGCGGAGCAGCUGCAAAGGCUUAAUGGGGGGAACCUUUGAUGCACUUCAUUUAUUUUUGUCUCCCUGCCUUUGACAGACAGGCAUUGCGUCGCCGUAGAAUGGAACAGGAAGUGGUUAGCACACACCAAUCAGGACACCACGGUGUUGCGUAAGCGUGCUGACAACAAAUAUGUUCAUUAGCGCGUCUGGAGUGUGUUCACGCUGCUUUCAUUCACCACUGCUCCAUGGAAACGCAGACCCCGCCCACCCCCUGACCCCCCCCCCAAACACACUUCACGCCUGACUACGCUCUGCGUUGGCGGAAAAAGACGCAAGCAGCACGCAAACUCACGCCAUGAUGCCGGAGAGGUGGAACAUCUCGGCCGACAGGUAGGCCAUGUAGCUAUACACGAAGACGAAGAGCGGCUCGAUGACGCGCGUGUGGGAGGUGAAGCGCGAGGUGAAGGCCGCCAGGACGCCGUAGAUGGCCCCCACCAGGACGCCGCCGAGCGCCACCACCAGGAAGGAGAUGAUGCCCAGCACGCCGUCCAUCACCGUCACCGUGCCGACGCCAGAGUACUCCUCAAAAAGGUGGUACAAGACCUAGAGAGAAGAAAGCAAAGCUGAGCUGCAUUGGGGUGGGCCGCCACCACCGCCACCGCCACCACCACCGCCGCCAGGCUGCUCACCACGGUGACGGCAUCGUUGAGCAACGAUUCGCCAAAGACCAGAAUGUGCAGCAGUUCGUUGAUGUGGAUCUCCUCAAAGACGGCCAGCACGGCCACGGGGUCCACGGCCGAGAUGAUGGAGCCGAAGAGCAGGCAAGGCAGGAGCUCCAGCGUGUGCAGGUCCGACGGAUUGUUGGGCUGGAUCUGGCACACGGCGUACAGCAGCCCGCCGAUGAAGAAGGAGUUCCACAGCGUCCCCACCACGGCGAACAUGAGGAUGGUGCCCAGGUUCUCCAUGAAGGGGCGGAUGGGCAGGAAGUAGCCGGCAUCCAGGAUGAUGGGCGGAAGCAGGCAGAAGAAGAAGAGGUUGGAGUCCAGCACGGGCGGGACCUCCCGUCCGGCCACUUUAAUCAGCCCCCCGACCAGCAGGCCCACCACGAUCAGCAGGCAGCUUUCCGGCACGAUGCCGGGCAGGCGAGGAACCAGGUGGAAACCUGAGAAGAUCAGACAAGUCAUAGAAGAUAGCGUCAGGCCUGAUGUUUAGCUGGCUGCAGCUCCUCUGUCCUGCCGUCUGCAUUGUGCUAGCAGCUACGUCACACGGAAGAGGCCCACAUCUUGCUGAGCUUGUCUCGCUAGUCCGCGUCUUGGCAGCAGCGAUGUCGCUUAAGGCUAACUCCGUGUACACAAGAACAUGUUUACCAUUCAUUAUCAUCCAUAUAGGCUAGCUAUUAUCAUCCAUAUAGGCUAGCUAUUAUUAUCCAUAUAGGCUAGCUAUCUAUUAUUAUCCAUAUAGGCUAGCUAUCUAUUAUUAUCCAUAUAGGCUAGCUAUUAUUAUCCAUAUAGGGUAUAUAUUAUCAUCCAUAUAGGGUAUAUAUUAUCAUCCAUAUAGGGUAUAUAUUAUCAUCCAUAUAGGGUAUAUAUUAUUAUCCAUAUAGGGUAUCUAUUAUUAUCCAUAUAGGGUAUAUAUUAUUAUCCAUAUAGGGUAUAUAUUAUUAUCCAUAUAGGGUAUCUAUAGACAUCCCACACAGGCAUGGAUGGUCAUGGACGUGUAACCCACAUAGAAGUUAUGCAUCCUUGGAAAAUAAUGAAAAUAUAUUUUAUAAUAAAAUGAUUAAAUAUUUAUAUAAUAUAAAAAUAUUCCCCGGUCUUUUAUAACGUCUGUGAAUGCAACCCAGUCACAUGACGGAAGACGGAACGUCUCAGCCAAUCAGGUUCGCCAGGGCCGCAAUCAAAUACACCGGUGCGCUCUCCCUCACACACGCCGGUGAGGAGACAGGCUACAGGACGCUGCUAACACGAAGCCGCGUACCGUCGCUGCGGACAUCCGGGUUCUAGCGGGGACUGAAUUACGAGGGGAAUUGGCCAGGUGUGGGCGGUUGGGGACAACCCCCAUGCUACGAGGCGAGCUAGACCCAAAGGGAACCGAACCACUUCAACAUCCUCCUGCGGUCUGGUAGGGGUGUUGGCAGCCAGUUCUCUCCCACCUAUGCACUGGUCACUUUAUCUGUUCACAUAGGAACUCUGUUGCGCGCGAUCCUGGACAAUUUCCACAUAUACCAUGGACUCUGGGUCUCUAUGAGAUGGACAUUGGCUCCACACAUUGUUGUGGCCACUGACCCUUUAUUGUGAAUACUGUGAUUUUGUGCUUUGUGUGAUCUUAAGGGCAUUUACACCCUGGACUGUGCUGAACCACUGUUGAAUUGUGAUUUCUUUAUUUGUAAGAACCAAAUGAACUAGAUUGAAAGACUGAAGUGCACUUCAUCAAACAGCUAUAGGAAUUCCCAAAACCUCUAUACCAUUUUACUGCCGUUUGUAAAUAUUGUAAAUAAUUUGUCACUGUUUGCACUUAAACCAAAUAAUAACGCACCAAGCCACUUAAAAGUACAUUUAGUGUCUUCUGUGAUAUUACUGUACCUCAACCUCCCUAGAGCCGAGCAUAGAUCUUCUGAGCUAGUCCAUACUUCUAUUUAAUUCAUCUUUACCUUUUCUUGCAUUUCUCAUAUAUGCUACAUACGCCUCAGCCCAAAACACCAUCACUCCUGCCCACUCCAGCAGAACACAAGUGCAGACAGGCCAAAAGCACACACAUGCGCACACACGCACACACACACACACAC